RNAcentral lists this ribosomal RNA (342 nucleotides) under Triticum aestivum (bread wheat). RNAcentral describes it as "partial small subunit ribosomal RNA". The record is from RNAcentral. Lineage: Eukaryota; Viridiplantae; Streptophyta; Magnoliopsida; Poales; Poaceae.
AUGAAUGAGCUCCUCCUACAAGACUAUACCCGAGAGGAGGUGUUUGAAGCUUUGCAGAGUAUUGGAGAUUUUAAAGCUCCUGGACCAGAUGGUAUGCCUUCUGUUUUCUACAAAAAAUGUUGGGAUGUGGUGGGAGAUAACAUUGUGGCUGAAGUGCUUGCAUUCCUUAAUGGUGUACCGAUGCCGGAGGGGUGGAACGAGACUUGUGUGGUUCUAAUCCCGAAAGUUAAAAACCCUGAGAGCAUGAAGGACCUUCGACCGAUUAGCCUUUGUAAUGUGGUGUACAAGCUAAUUUCCAAGGUCCUUGCAAAUCGUUUGAAGCAAAUUCUUCCAGAAAUUAUU